AUACGGAGGGUCCGAGCGUUAUCCGGAAUCAUUGGGUUUAAAGGGUCCGUAGGCGGGAAUCUAAGUCAGUGGUGAAAUCUUGCAGCUCAACUGUAAAAUUGCCAUUGAUACUGGAUUUCUUGAAUUAGUGUGAAGUGGUUAGAAUGUGUAGUGUAGCGGUGAAAUGCAUAGAUAUUACACAGAAUACCAAUUGCGAAGGCAGAUCACUAACACUAUAUUGACGCUAAGGGACGAAAGCGUGGGGAGCGAACAGGAUUAGAUACCCGGGUAGUCC
This 274-nucleotide ribosomal RNA is filed under the name uncultured bacterium. Its description in RNAcentral is "partial 16S ribosomal RNA". It matches the Rfam family "Bacterial small subunit ribosomal RNA", at positions 523 to 796 of the family's 1533-position model. The record is from RNAcentral.